Molecule: long non-coding RNA, 2559 nt
Filed under: Malus domestica (apple)
Lineage: Eukaryota; Viridiplantae; Streptophyta; Magnoliopsida; Rosales; Rosaceae
Description: long non-coding RNA (MDOM_LNC012263)
Source: RNAcentral
UAUUUGAUGAGUUGUGACUAUUCAAGAAUAAGGGAAAGGGGGCAACUUUUGCCUUUAAAUUUAAAAGAUUCAAUUCUUGGCUCUUCAAAGAAAAACACCACUAUUUUGAAGAGUCACUUUUACAUAUAUAGACACCUCAUCACAUUGAGUCAGUAGUCAAUUUAUUAGUUAGGUCAUUCAAAGUUUGUGGAUGCAAAUUCGUACACGACUGAUUAGACAAAAUUCCAUCUACAAGAGAACAAACAAUGUUAGCCUAGUUGACGAACACCCUAAAAAAGGAGAAGGGUGUCCGUCAUAGGGUCUCCGAUGCCUAAUUCAAAAAAGUAGUAGAGAGAAUAGAGAACUUGAGAGAGUACUAAGUAGUAAGUGGCAAUUACCGUUUCUUCUGUUUGACAUGGCUAUUUAUAGGGAAAAACCUUAGCAGGCAGGUUGAAAAGGAGAUUGCAGGUCAGUCUUCACAGUCAUGUGAGCUAGCAAUUUUGAAGGUCCAUGUUGGUAAGAGCAUAGUUGCACUGGACACCCAAGGGGAAACUCUAGAGAGUUGGUACCCUGAUGUCAUUGGACCAGGUGUGGCCCGAUGGCAAGACAUAUUAUGGGUGGUUCAAAAAACCCAUAAUAUAUGUCAUGGUAGGCCUAGAUCGCUCAUGAUCCGUACCAUGAGCAACCCGGAUGGCCUAUGGUCCCUUAAUGGCAUAAAAGCUCGAUUAUCUUAGGGCAGACUAUGUUGCUUCUUUGCCAUGUCUGAUGAAUCUUUGACCGCAUAUCAAAAUUUUGACAUAAGGUAUGGUGCACACCAAACCAUACCAAAAUUUUGGCUUAUUUUUAGUCAUGAUACUUGUACUCUUUACAAAAUCUCAUUUUAAUCCCUGCACUCUAUUUUGUUUCAUUUUAUCAUGUGAACUCUUCCUUCAUCCCACAUUACUCCGUUUCGUGAGUUCAGUCAUAAAAUGAAGCAUUUUUGCUCAUCAACCUAAACUUUGGUAUAUGCUAAACCUACAUCUAAUUAUUUGAUACGUGUCAUUUCACCUAACAUUGGUUAAUUGUUUUCAGAAUUGAGAAAAUAACAUUUACUGUGAAAAUUAACUAAAAUUAAACGAUCAAAUAAUUAGGUGUAUGAUAGUUAUAAUAGUGAGUAAAAAUGCUCUGGUCGCAAAAAUUAUUAACCUGAUGAGGUGUAAGAAUAGACGCUGUAACGCGUGGGGUAAAGUAAGCGACUCACAGAAAGUGUAUAGCUGUCUCGGACUAAAAUGUAAAAUGCAAAACUAAAAGAGCUGGGGUGUUAUUGUCUAGUGGCUCCUACAGGUCCCCCGGUCAGCCGCGCACUCUGUCGGCUUACGUGACGCUAAGGUGAAUGCAGUUCAGUAGUAGAGGCACGUGACAUGGCUCCCACUCUGUCGACUUGUCCCACAGUUUUUAACCUUUGGACAUUAAUCCGACUCUUUUCUUCUAUUUUUGUACACAUGUUUUUAUACAAAUUAUUUCGCCCUUUAUCGCCCACAAGUUCUCUCCUCUCCUCUACUAGUUGAACAUGGUAUUGCCGUCAAAGUAGCAGCUAAUGGUCUCCGGGGUUGGGCUGCGUAUCUUUUUUCAAAGGAAGCGAAAUGCAAAAUGUCCUUUCCAUAUUUAUUAACAAUGAAAUAUCAUUUUCAUCUCAUCAUUUUUUGACGACUCAAAAAAUUAUUUUUCAAGCUUAGACUUACCAACAGUGGAAAAUGCGACACUUUUUCGUGUCCCCCACUCUCUUCCCUCAUGCCAAACGUGGCCUUAAGGUUAAAUGAGAUUCGAAAGCAUAUGGUUCAAAUUAAGUUGUCGUACUAAAUUACAUAAUAAGUCAUCCAUAAUAAAUAGACAUCAAACUCGUUGUCCAAGUGAGUAGGACUUAAAAUUCUCAUUUGUAAGCAGAGAUGGAUAUUAUUAAACAACAAUGCAAGUAACAUCUAUUUGGCAAGAUUGAAAUAGGGGUUGGAAAAUUACAAAGAACUUGGGUCUUUAAUUUUUCUGCUAGCUACUUGGUCUUCAAACACAAUGAUGUGAACCUUACAUGGUUGAAUAACUAAAACUAAAAUACACAUGAAUGAAGACUAAUUAACAUGAUGCAGAAGUUGGGGGCAUCCAUUGAAAUCGAUGCAAACAGAAGGAGUUGAUGAACACCAAUGAAUCUUCUGUAGAACUCCUAUUUGUAUACAACUACUCAGUAGGAAGUAAUAUAUUGUGUAUCUAGGCUUUUGCAGGGACCGAAGGUUUAUAGAGGUUAUAAUACUCUAGGCCCAGCUCAAUAGCCUACAAGUCAGAAAUUAUAUCUUUUUAGUCAAAAUGAUGUCUGAGAUUUGUAUAACAUAUCACUUUGAUCUUUGAUAUUGAAAAUAAAUAAAAAUGGUCCCUGAGAUUAUCCACCAUUCAUUAUUUUGGUCAUUCCAUUAAAAACUUUGUUAAGUGUCCCGGAGCUCUUGGUCGAAAGUUUGAUCAAUUUUCAAAGUUUCGUAAUUCAAUUGUUUAUUAACCAAAUUCGACCCAUAAUAUAUCAAAAUAAAGAUAGGAAAGUAUAGAACAAAAUUAUAC